UUCAAGUUUUAUCCCACUUUUUCAAAACUUUUAUUUUAAGAAAAUUUUGAACUGUAAUUAUUUUGGCAUUUCAUGGUAAUGUAGUAACUGUCUUUUAUCUAAUUCACAUGUUACACUUGAAUGCUUUACCUUGUUUCUAAUAAAUUUGCAGUAAAAUCUUUUUUAUGGCAGCUCAAUUAAGGACAUUCUAGUAUCCUAACUACUUCCUUUGCCUCAGCUUUUAUGUUAUUGAUACCUGUCAGGAAUCUGGUGUUAGGAUCCUGGCUCAUUCAACCAGGGGAUCCUUGUUUAGCAAGUUGGGGUUUCUGUGUGAAGAGCGAUCUAGAAGUUAGGAAAGAGAAAAGCAGAAGACAGAAGAAUAGAAGAAGGAUUGGAGGGAGAGUAUUAGGGAGAAAUAGAGAGUUAGAUUCAUAAUAUUCUCAUGCCUACAGCCUAGUCAUACCAUUUUUAAAUAGUAAUAUCCUAAGACUAUGAUUGGAUAGGAAAUAACCAACUUUAGCGGACCCGGUGUGAUAUAGCUGGUACCUAUGGGUUGGUACGAUGCUAACGGCUAAGAGUCAAUUCUAGAAAUUUAGAAAGAAAAGAAAAUAACAUCAAAAUAACCGUUAAAAAACCCUACAUUUAUUUGGUGCCAUUUUGUUUCCUAACACCUUUUUGUGGACUUGAGAAGGGAAUAAGAAUAGAAGGAAAAAAAGAAUAGAAGAAGGUGAGAAGAAUAGAGGGAAAAGGAGAGGGAGAAAGAAGGGAAAGAGGGAAGAAGAACGCAGCCAAUAAUAGAUGGCUGGUUCUUGACAUUUCUCCUGCCUUCGAAGAAGACUUUGUUCUCCAGGUGCUUGAGAUAUUACUGUAAUGGAUUUAUCCCAUCCAAUCUUUAGCUCAUACUCACUAACAUCUACUCCUUGCCUUUCCUCUUCUGCAGCCUGGCCAUCCGCUCUAUUCAUAAAAACAAGUCUUGCUUGCCUGCACUGAAUCAGGGUGUCUUUGAUGAGUCUCUCCUCAUCUAAUCUGCCCGCCAAGGCUUGGAGCUUGGUGGGUUCAGCUCCUCUUGUUUUUCUCUUCAUCUUCUUCUUCAACAACUUCUCCCUCUUCGUAUUCCUCUUCAUCAUCUUCUUCAUACAUUUCUCCUUCUCUGCUUCAUUGAUUUCUCCCUUUUUGUAUUUCUCUUCAUCUUCUCCUGUUGCAGCGACAUUUGAAUGUUCCUGAGCUUGUGCAUAGGGCUUGGAGAAUGAAAGAUUGGGGAAUUGUUUCAUUUCUGAGUUCACCAUGAAAGGAAGGGGCGAUUGAGGGGUAGAGUGCAGAGAGAUGCUGAAGGGUUUAGGGAGAAUUGGUUCCUGUCUUAGAGGAACAUUAGUUUUCAUGGUUAGUUGAGUCGAUAACAUAGAUCUAAUUGUCUCUACGAUAAUCUUCUGUAGCUGCAUAUUACUUUCAACUAAGUUUGCACCAACGAUUGUAGACAUUUUCGUCAUGAAGUGUUGGAUAUGCUGAUCCAGCCAUUGGACAGAUUCUUCGAUCUGUGCAACAGGCUGUGAAUCGGCAUUGCAGCUUCCCUUCUGUUUUUCACCAGCUUAGCAAGGGAGGAUAAUGGUUUUGUCAGAUAGUUUGCUUGGAUACUAUUCAUCAGGAACCUGGUUGUGGACUUGAGAAGAGAGGAAAAUAGAGAAAGGAAACAGAAAAUAGAAGUUGAGAAGAAUAGAGGGAAAAAGAGGUGGAAAGAAGGGAAAGAGGGAAGACGGAUAAGCUUCGAUAUAGGAUAAACUGAUUAGAUAUUUUCUGAUACCUUUCAUUAGAUUUCAAGCUUACAUUUAUAGGUUAGCUGCAACCAGUAAUAGAUGGUCAGUAACGGUUACAUUCCCUGGUAAUAUUCUCUAGGUACACUAUAGCUGUUCUAUGUCUUUUCGAAUAUGAUAGAAAGAAAUAGUAGAAUUCUAGAAAAAUGCUAGCAGAAUUAGUUAUCUAAGAAAGGUAAAAUUUUAUUUUAUUUUUCUUUUCUACUACUGGGCUGGUUCUUGACUAUACCAUCCUUGUUAAGGAUUUACAUUGCAUAAAUUGGGUCACUUCUGUGUUUAGCGACCACUUUUUUCAAGUUUCAUAAGGUCAUCCAUCUAUUGUAUAUUGUAUUCUCCAAUUAUGGUGCGGAAAUAGGUUUCCCAGAAAGACGUGGUCCGAAAUAAUGUUUUUUUCGAGGUAAUGGAGACUCAUUAAAAAUAUCCCGAUUUACAAAGUUUUUAGAAUAAUUCCACUUACUUUUUUUAAAAGUUCGAUAUCAUUAUAUUUUCUAUUAGUUUGGUAGAAUAAAAAUGAUAGAUUCUCUCACUUGCUGACUGGUAUAGCUUUGUGCUGAUCAAGAAACGGUACACCCCUCUGCUGAAGGUACAUUUUUUCCUGGCAGACUACCAUCUAUGAUCGCUUCAGAUUACAACCGUAAGGGUAGGAACGUACCCUUUUUGGGGUGUGAAAAGAAAAAUCUCUGCUUUCCCCUCUUUUCGGGUGUGAACCAUUUGGUUUAACUCUCAGUUCAAUUUCUAGCAGAAAUUUUUUUUUUAUUAUUAGCAUAUCUUUGAGAUUUAAAUCGAAUGCUGCAACCUUUUAAGACCUUCAGCAAAAUGUUCAAUCUUGAGGCGUUGCCGCUUCCGUUGCUAUCUCUUGUUAUAUUCUCAUUACAUGAAAUCACCAACUGGCAACUGCCUUAUCUGUUCUUUUCAGGCCAAGUCAUAUGCAGAUAACUUCAAAUAUAAAGGCCCUGCGACGCCUGAGGAUGAUAAACAAAAGUAAUUCAUUAAGAUUAGCCUGGUUAGAGCUGUAUUACAAAAUCUGAGGUAAUGUUACCAUAGAGUUUACAGUAUUAAUUGUAAGCAUUAACAUUUCAACCAUUAGAUUCUCCAGUAUGGGAGAGAACCUUGUUUUUACUACCCUUAGUUGUAAAAUCACAUUUGUCAAUGCUUGGGGUAUACUUCCUAACCCUCGUUUC
This is a non-coding RNA of Carica papaya (papaya), 2968 nucleotides long. The record is from RefSeq and is a predicted model, not a curated record. Lineage: Eukaryota; Viridiplantae; Streptophyta; Magnoliopsida; Brassicales; Caricaceae.